This 350-nucleotide unclassified non-coding RNA is filed under the name soil metagenome. RNAcentral describes it as "partial contains 5.8S ribosomal RNA, internal transcribed spacer 2, and large subunit ribosomal RNA". The stretch from base 1 to 120 matches the Rfam family "5.8S ribosomal RNA", at positions 35 to 154 of the family's 154-position model. The record is from RNAcentral.
GAUGAAGAACGCAGCGAAAUGCGAUACGUAAUGUGAAUUGCAGAAUUCAGUGAAUCAUCGAGUCUUUGAACGCACAUUGCGCCCCCUGGUAUUCCGGGGGGCAUGCCUGUCCGAGCGUCAUUGCUGCCCUCAAGCACGGCUUGUGUGUUGGGCCUCCGUCCUCCUCCCGGGGGACGGGCCCGAAAGGCAGCGGCGGCACCGCGUCCGGUCCUCGAGCGUAUGGGGCUUUGUCACCCGCUCUGCAGGCCCGGCCGGCGCUGGCCGACGCGAAAGCAACCAUUUUUUCUCCAGGUUGACCUCGGAUCAGGUAGGGAUACCCGCUGAACUUAAGCAUAUCAAUAAGCGGAGGA